CCUACGGGGGGCUGCAGUGGGGAAUAUUCCGCAAUGGACGAAAGUCUGACGGAGCAACGCCGCGUGAGUGAUGAAGGUUUUCGGACUGUAAAACUCUGUUGUUUAGGACGAAAGUGCCUGUUGCAAAUAGUUGCAGGUAUUGACGGUACUGAACGAGGAAGCCACGGCUAACUACGUGCCAGCAGCCGCGGUAAUACGUAGGUGGCAAGCGUUGUCCGGAAUUAUUGGGCGUAAAGAGCAUGUAGGUGGGCUGUUAAGUCUGUUGUGAAAAUGCGGGGCUCAACCCCGUAUUGCGAUGGAAACUGACAGUCUUGAGUGCAGGAGAGGAAAGGGGAAUUCCCAGUGUAGCGGUGAAAUGCGUAGAUAUUGGGAGGAACACCAGUGGCGAAGGCGCCUUUCUGGACUGUGUCUGACACUGAGAUGCGAAAGCUAGGGGAGCGAACGGGAUUAGAUACCCCAGUAGUC
RNAcentral lists this ribosomal RNA (465 nucleotides) under uncultured Veillonellaceae bacterium. RNAcentral's name for it is "bacterial SSU rRNA". It matches the Rfam family "Bacterial small subunit ribosomal RNA", at positions 338 to 795 of the family's 1533-position model. Lineage: Bacteria; Bacillati; Bacillota; Negativicutes; Veillonellales; Veillonellaceae. The record is from RNAcentral.